RNAcentral lists this ribosomal RNA (96 nucleotides) under Pseudomonas aeruginosa. RNAcentral also lists the same sequence under 1 other name. The record is from RNAcentral. Lineage: Bacteria; Pseudomonadati; Pseudomonadota; Gammaproteobacteria; Pseudomonadales; Pseudomonadaceae.
UCUGGUGACAAUGGCAAGGAGGUCACACCUGUUCCCAUGCCGAACACAGAAGUUAAGCUCCUUAGCGCCGAUGGUAGUCGGACUGACGUUCCGCUA